CGGUCUUAGUUCAAAUUUCUUUUAGAAACAGAACAUCCUUUCAUGCUUUCACCUAAGUUAUAAAACCCAGGGCGGGCUUUGCCAGAUCAUCAGCUGUGGUGCAACAGGGUCUUGCACAGAUGAGAUUACAUCCACCCUGGGCAGCUUUCUUGAGCCUUGGGGGACCAGCUUAAUGAUGAACCCUAAUUUUCUGUUGUCCCUUGCUGCCUAUCUAAGACUGCGAGCGAUCUGAAUGCAACACUCGGAGCACUCAAAUGUGAGCAGAAAUACAGCUUUUCAUGUAAACUAAGUGAAGAAGGGUCUUGCUUUGUUGCCCAGCCUAGCGUGCAGUGGUGU
RNAcentral lists this long non-coding RNA (336 nucleotides) under Homo sapiens (human). RNAcentral's name for it is "HSALNT0356736". The record is from RNAcentral. Lineage: Eukaryota; Metazoa; Chordata; Mammalia; Primates; Hominidae.